AGCCAUGUGGUGAAUACAAAGCGAACUAUUUUUUCGCCUUUUACCAAAUAAUACCAUUGGUUCUCUACGCUAAGUGGCAUACGCCUAUUUUUGGAGGUUUCCAUUUUUGAGUGGACC
Molecule: small nuclear RNA, 117 nt
Organism: Brassica oleracea var. oleracea
Lineage: Eukaryota; Viridiplantae; Streptophyta; Magnoliopsida; Brassicales; Brassicaceae
Rfam family: U5 spliceosomal RNA
About the family: U5 RNA is a component of both types of known spliceosome. The precise function of this molecule is unknown, though it is known that the 5' loop is required for splice site selection and p220 binding, and that both the 3' stem-loop and the Sm site are important for Sm protein binding and cap methylation.
Source: Rfam